UUUUUUUAACCAGGUUUUCCGAAGGAAAAAACUGGUUAUUAGAUUGGCGAAUGCGGGCGGGCUGGCUGGCUGGCGGGCUGGCUGGCGGGCUGGCGGAAUAAGCUUGUCCGGGCCAUAACUAUGUCGUUCAUUGUCAGAUUUUAAAAUCAUUUGGCACAUUUGUUCACCAUCAUUGGACGGUGUGUCGCGCGAAAUAAUUACGUCGAUAUCUCCAAGGUCAAGGUCACACUUUGAGUUCAAAGGUCAAAAAUGGCCAUAAAUGAGCUUGUCCGAGCCAUAACUAUGUCGUUCAUUGUCAGAUUUUAAAAUCAUUUGGCACAUUUGUUCACCAUCAUUGGACGGUGUGUCGCGCGAAAUAAUUACGUCGAUAUCUCCAAGGUCAAGGUCACACUUUGAGUUCAAAGGUCAAAAAUGGCCAUAAAUGAGCUUGUCCUGGCCAUAACUAUGUCAUUCAUUGUGAGAUUUUAAAAUCAUUUGGCACAUUUGUUCACCAUCAUGGGACGGUGUGUCCCACGAAAGAAUCACGUCAAUAUCUCCAAUGUCAAGGUCGCCACGACUAAAAAUAGAUUUAAAAAAAAAAAAACUUACAAAGGGGGUUAAUUUUUUUUGGUCAUUUCAAAAGUUCAGUUUGAGUUUUCUCCCUUUUUCAGAUUUUUUUU
This is a long non-coding RNA of Dreissena polymorpha, 659 nucleotides long. RefSeq lists it as uncharacterized. The record is from RefSeq and is a predicted model, not a curated record. The transcript is spliced from 2 exons. Lineage: Eukaryota; Metazoa; Mollusca; Bivalvia; Myida; Dreissenidae.